UACCUUCACGCAAUACGGUGACGUUUACAACAGCAUUAUCAACGUUUGUUCCAUGAUAACAUGUCCAUCCACCGUUUAUGCUGUUGUCGAUUCGCCCUUUUAUGGUAAGCAUUGUGAUAUUAUGUAGAGCGUCUUGGGUAAUGGUGCAAUUUCUACUUAGGGAGUAGCAAUGAGAAAAUGGUAUAGGACUCAUACAAUACGCUUGCUCUUUGUCGAACUGGUUGAAAAAUUUGACUUGCCAUGACAAUUUGUUUACUCUGCAUUUAAAGGUAAUUU
Molecule: long non-coding RNA, 276 nt
Filed under: Mytilus galloprovincialis (Mediterranean mussel)
Lineage: Eukaryota; Metazoa; Mollusca; Bivalvia; Mytilida; Mytilidae
Source: RNAcentral